Molecule: non-coding RNA, 73 nt
Filed under: uncultured Anaerotruncus sp.
Lineage: Bacteria; Bacillati; Bacillota; Clostridia; Eubacteriales; Oscillospiraceae
Description: Cyclic di-GMP-I riboswitch
Rfam family: c-di-GMP-I riboswitch aptamer
About the family: GEMM was predicted in a large-scale screen for bacterial structured RNA regulatory elements. Genes associated with GEMM are involved in a diverse array of functions, including chemotaxis regulation, signal transduction, secretion and chitin.
Source: RNAcentral
UUGGCAAAACUAUUGAAAGAUAGUGACGCAAAGCCAUUGGGUCUAAGCCGCAAGGUAUGACAGCCGGUUGCCG